AUUAUAUAUCAGAUGCGUUAAAUUACAAGAAACAUUGAACAUACAUGCAUAUAAACUGUGAUUAAAGAAGACAAAUAUUAGAAACCAAGGAGCCUGUAGUUUAAAAGGAAAGAUUGUGAUCUCAUUUAUAAGGUAGUAAGAACGUACCUAGGACUAUGGGAACUAGAGCAACCUUUGAAGCAUGGUUUAAACUUUUCUUCUCCUAUAGACCACAAGUUCCCACUCUACAAGGAAGAGAAGUAUCAAAUAACCAUAAAAGAAGAAGAUUGGCAACGUAGCAAUAGCAACAUUGGUGUGAAACGUCAUUACAAGUGUGAAACUUUCAAGGAUCACUCACAAGUAAUUCAAGUUGUUGAAUGUUCUCCAAGUGCAGCUGGUAUCUGAAGAUUCUAGGAGACAAUCAAUGUACGAGACAAACUUUGGCUAGGAAGUCCUCUGUUUCAUUAAGAAAACAAGACAAUCUCAGAAAUCUGUCUAUCUUGUUUCUCUUUUUGUCUUGUGUAAUAUAACAGAUGGAUUGAUUUUGAUCUACGCCGAUAUCCUUCAACGAGAUUUGUAAAUCAUUGUUAGAAUCAAAUUGCUUUAUCAUAACACACACCAAAAUUCAAAGAAAUUUUUAUGACGUAUAAACCUUGCUGGGCUAUUGGAGAAGAGAAGAAACUCCAUAGAUGGAGACCAAAAAUCAAAACAAGAGAUCAAUGAUUCUCAUUACCAUUGGAGUAGCAGAAAACGAAAGACCUGAUAAUUAAUUUAAGUUAUGUGAUUUUGAUGUUGAGAGAGACGCCGAUUUGUGUCACGUACAAGGAAAAUUCGAUUUGCAGAGAAA
This 826-nucleotide long non-coding RNA is filed under the name Arabidopsis lyrata. RNAcentral describes it as "long non-coding RNA (ALYR_LNC002742)". The record is from RNAcentral. Lineage: Eukaryota; Viridiplantae; Streptophyta; Magnoliopsida; Brassicales; Brassicaceae.